This is a long non-coding RNA of Macadamia integrifolia, 686 nucleotides long. RefSeq lists it as uncharacterized. NCBI's taxonomy places the organism in Eukaryota, Viridiplantae, Streptophyta, Magnoliopsida, Proteales, Proteaceae. The record is from RefSeq and is a predicted model, not a curated record. The transcript has 2 exons.
GAAAGGGAAGGAGGGAACUUAGGACAUCGCAGCGAUCGAUCGUGGGGUGUCCGGAACUGCGGCUACCGAUCGGCUGCUGCACCUUCUUCUCAGGUGGUUCCAUAUUUGCAGGUGUGCCGGAGCAAAUCAUAUAUUGCCUUCUCGUCCAGGAGUAUCAAACGGAGGAGAGUAUGUAUAAUGCGGUGAGAAGGUUCGGUAAGGUACGAUUCGUUAGGAGUACCCCACAAGGUUGUGGCCGAAGAAGCCAAUGGGUCUGGGAAAUUUGGGAUGGGAGAUGAAUCGGUUUAGUCGGGUAUUGAUGGUGUUCUGUUCCCCACUGAAGAAAAGACGAAUUCCGAAACGAAAUUGAUUCACACAGUACUCUUACCACUACUAAAGUUACUGUUAAAUCUCAGAAUAGGUGCUUCAAAAACAAAUCUUUUUUCCUUUCCUUAUCUUCAUUACUUUCUCAGACAUUGGAAUUCCAGUUCUUAUUUCACUUGUUUGUUAUAUCUGCCGGAUUCCGGUGAUGUUUAGUUCAGUGAGGUUGUCGGCUCCGAUGAGUUUUUAUGUGGGUCACAUCGUCUUUAUCUGGUUUUAUUAAUUUGACACUCACUCUGUGGGUCACAUCUCUUUUGGUGGACCGCGUUUCUUCACUUUGAAUAAUUCAAUUCAUUGUUACGACUUACGACUACCUACUUGUUUAA